CCCAUACUAUAAAAUCCUGAACCUGGAAAGGGUAUUGGAAAUUUAUUUCCUAGGGGAAGGAUGAAUCCUAGAGCAGUAGAGAAGAUACUGGAGAAGAGAAAGGAAACUUACAUUAUCUUUCCCCUUUUUUUGAUAAGGACUGAGAUGGAUGAAGUCAGACCAGAGUCAUCCUCUCCCUGAAGGAGGUAAUGAGUUGGACCUCUGCUGUGACCAUCAUAUUACAUUCCAAAGAAGAGCAAACGAAAAACUAGCCAAAGUUUGGAU
Molecule: long non-coding RNA, 264 nt
Organism: Ornithorhynchus anatinus (platypus)
Lineage: Eukaryota; Metazoa; Chordata; Mammalia; Monotremata; Ornithorhynchidae
Exons: 3
Source: RefSeq, a predicted model, not a curated record